ACAUGCUCCUCCGGGGCCACUCAGGUCUGCCCUGUGCCCUUCAUCAUGCCUUCAGACAUGCUCUCAGAGGGACUGGUCCUUCGUGGGUUCUGGGGACCUGGAUUCUGCUCCCAUCUCCACAUCCGUGGUGCCCACCUCAUGCCUCUGCCCUCUGACCGCCAGGAGACCCCCCAAUCUAUUCUGUGAUCAACACAGAGAUCCUUGGGGGCCCUGAAACGGGAACACCUAGGUGCUCUUGGUGCUUCUGUGUCCACAGCAUAGCAGGGCCAAGAGGACUUCCUGGGGCCACUGUGUGACAUGAGAGCUCCCUGCUGGGCCUUGUGGUCAUGGCUCUCUGCUGAUUUCUCUGACCGCCACCACAGUUCCGGCUUCCAGAACCCUUCCUGGAUCAGAAGGAGUGAAGGUAACAGGGCAUUCGGGGCCGCGCCGAACUCCCCCCCUUCUCAGGCGCGCGGGGAAUUCAGGCCAAGCACCGUCCAGCCUUCCUUCCACCUCUACCACCAUCGACAGGCGGUUACAACAGCAAAGGAAAACACAAAAGCAGCGAACAAAAAACCCGCUGCUGGUGAGAUGCUGCACUCUUCCAUCUCCUAUCACACUGGCGAGGCACCCGCCCAGGGAUCUAGGGACUGAGGGGCUCCCACUCCGCUGUCCCGCCCACUGUCCCCCAAACAACUGUUUACCUCCUUACUAGCCCUGCUGGCCUCUCUCCGGCACAGGUGCGGCUG
This is a long non-coding RNA of Suricata suricatta (meerkat), 728 nucleotides long. RefSeq lists it as uncharacterized. The record is from RefSeq and is a predicted model, not a curated record. Lineage: Eukaryota; Metazoa; Chordata; Mammalia; Carnivora; Herpestidae. The transcript has 3 exons.